GGGAGGAACGGGGACCGAGGGAGAGAUGGGCAGACUCUCAUGGUCCCUGUUCUCUGCCCCAGA
RNAcentral lists this microRNA precursor (63 nucleotides) under Bos taurus (domestic cattle). Its description in RNAcentral is "microRNA bta-mir-6775 precursor". Lineage: Eukaryota; Metazoa; Chordata; Mammalia; Artiodactyla; Bovidae. The record is from miRBase by way of RNAcentral.